GAUGAACGCUGGCGGCGUGCUUAACACAUGCAAGUCGAACGGACAGGCCCUGCUUUUGUUGGGUGCUCGAUUGCCGAACGGGUGAGUGUAACGUGUGUAUCAUGCACUUGUCUUUCUGGUAACUUCAGGAAACUCCGGCUCAUACCGGAUAUGAGCUCCUGCUGCAUGGUGGUCGUUGGUAAGUUUCGGCUGUUGUGGAUGGACUCGCUGCUUAUCCGCUUGUUUGUCGGGUAGUGGAUUACCAAGGGUUUGACGGAUAGCCGGCCUGAGAGGGGGGCCGGCCACCUGGGGACUGAGAGAGGGCCCAGAAGGCUACGGGAGGCAGCAGGGGGGAAUAUGGCACAAUGGGGGGAAGCCUGAGGCAGCAACGCCGCGUGCGGGAUGACGGGUUUUGGGGGGUAAACAGCUGUCGCCUUAGAUGAGGCGUGAGUGACGGUAAUGAGUAAAGAAGCACCGGCUAACUACGUG
This 468-nucleotide ribosomal RNA is filed under the name uncultured bacterium. RNAcentral's name for it is "partial 16S ribosomal RNA". It matches the Rfam family "Bacterial small subunit ribosomal RNA", at positions 28 to 507 of the family's 1533-position model. The record is from RNAcentral.